This 252-nucleotide ribosomal RNA is filed under the name uncultured bacterium. RNAcentral's name for it is "partial 16S ribosomal RNA". It matches the Rfam family "Bacterial small subunit ribosomal RNA", at positions 524 to 776 of the family's 1533-position model. The record is from RNAcentral.
UACGGAGGGUGCGAGCGUUAAUCGGAAUAACUGGGCGUAAAGGGUUCGCAGGCGGAAAUGCAAGUCAGAUGUAAAAGGCAGUAGCUUAACUACUGUAAGCAUUUGAAACUGCAUACCUUGAGAAGAGUAGAGGUAAGUGGAAUUUUUAGUGUAGCGGUGAAAUGCGUAGAUAUUAAAAAGAAUACCGGUGGCGAAGGCGACUUACUGGGCUCAUUCUGACGCUGAGGAACGAAAGCGUGGGUAGCAAACAGG